UCAUUUUGUUGCAAAGCUAGCCUUCUGUUUACCCUAGUUAAGAAAAGGGAAAAGAAGAAGAAAAAGGUAGAGAAAACUAAUACAUAUAAAAUAAACUACUUACCCCAAGAACUUGAGUCAAGCUGACUGAUUCGAUCUCGGAACAAAAACAGCCUAAGACAUACAUUAAGCAGUAGGAAACAUAUUCACAGCUAAUACCGACCUAUCAAUGAAACUCCUUAUCUUGUGUGUCCCUAAUCAAGCCUGCACCCUGCUUUAUUUUUCCUUAAAAGAACUCUUGAUUGAUGCUGCUCCAUUCCGACCAAACUGCAAUGAACAGAUGAUAUAUGAACCCAAGACUUAUUACCUUGCUCUGAUUUUUGACAAAUUAAGGAAAGCUAUGACUCUUUGUAAUAUCAGUACCUGGCAUUCUUAUAAUCAUUGGCACUAAGAGAGCUUCUCCUAUGGAUGUCAAACGAGCAGAAACUUUUAUGUUAACAAUACUUACAUAUAAGCCUAUGAAAUUUUUUUUUUUUGAAGGGCCAUAUAAAUUAUGAUUUAAUGUACCACAGACAAAUCAAUUCUUAUUUAACUGCAUGGUUAUCUAUAGGACUCAAACUAUGUUACUCAAACAUGACAACAAGUUGGCCUUUUGCAAACUUUCAAAUUUGAAAUAUCAACAAGUGCAUUUUUUUAUUUGAAACGCAUGGAUUGUUACACUAUCUACAAAGAUGGAACUUAGCUGUUGUGGCUGCAUGAUCCUAUGGUAUGCUCCUGGAGCAAUUUGUGUAUGGACCUCCUCUGCUUUUGGCAUAUCUAAUCUCUUGAUUAGUUUUGUUUGACUUUAGAACUAGGCUGUUGUUUCAUCAUGCAACACCAAUAUGGCAUUAUUUGUCCAUUGGUUGCAUACUGAUUUUUUUAUUUCAUUUGGUCCCAUUAAAUAAGAAUCUUUACUGUCUUAGCCACAAUGUUGAGCAUCAUUGCUUCUCAAAAGAAAAAAAAUUUUGAGUGUCAUUAGUUACCUAGUUGAUACCCAUCCAGUGUCAAUUUCUGGAGUAGGUGAGGUAGAAUUAUUCUUUUUGGGUUAGCCUAAUGAAGGAUGCGGAUAUCAUCCGCAAGAGGGCAGAUAUAUGUAUAACAUAUUUAUCAAUCAUCUGGAGAUAAGAUCAAUACCUGUUGUCAAUGCAUGCACUGGUGUGCAUGUUUGAUGCUAAUGAAAGUGGUGACAGGGAUAACUUUUCCUUCAUCUUAAUAUUAGCUAACAAUGUACAUUUGCGAUGCAGGUGGGACACUAAACUAAAAGGACCACACUUUUCACCUUUCACUCUCUGCUUGUUGUGCUACUCAAAGACCGGCAACUGCACUGUGUAUUGGAUAAUACUCAUGGCAAAAUCUUUUUCAAUUUUAUAGUUAAGGUUCAUUGAUCCUGUAUCUAGAGUUCUCAGGCUUGCUAGUACAGCAUUAAGACCACAUACUAAAUUUUUCGGGGUAUUGUUUAACGUGAGAUGCUAUAUACCGAGAGUGAUGUAUGUCCAGAGUAUUGUCUGGACUGUUAUAGGAUACGCACCAAGCAUUUUGAUGUUAAUGAAGUUAUUUCCCCUAUCCAAAAAAUUAAAGAAAGGUAAAUGCAGUCUUUGUUUUGAAAAGUUAGCAUAUCUUAAGGUCAUCUAUCUUCAAAUUUUGUAUUCUACCAUUAAAUGUUAAUCUUGGUUGUAGCCGUGCCUUGAUGAGAACGAGCAUUGGAUUGUAUCCAGUAGCAUUUGUAGUUUCUGAUAUUCUGUUAGCACAAAGUUUUCAGAGGUUUGGUGAAUGCUGUCAUGAUGUUUCAAGCGAGUCGAGGGUCUCUAUAAUUCCCCCUCGCUCCUAGCAAAUGCUGGGCAUGUAUGAUAAUAUGCAAUCGAAAGACAUCCUAAUCCUAUUAUGACGGCAACAUCAGGCUAGAAAAGGACAUCCUAAUCCUUUUAUGACGGCAACAUCAGGCUAGAAAAGUUUGUGGUGGAUGUAGGCCUCGUGUGUCAUGACCAGGGAUAUCAAUGGCAUCAUGGUUAGAGUUUGUGAAACCCACAGCAAACUCUGUUUUAAUCAUAGACCACAUUUGGCCAACAAAGAAUCCACUUACACAUUGUGAGAGAAGAGAAAUGGAUGUUGAAGUUCCUGUUAUGUAUUAACCAACCCUUACAAGAAUAGGCUUUUCAGUCAAGCAGUAGAGGAAUCCACGAGGGGUUCAGAGUUGGAUUCAUUUGAAAUAUACCAGGCUUAAAAUAUUUAUAUGAAAAUCAAUUCUAUACAAAUACUACUAAUUCACUUGUGGAUACUCCGCAAUAUUUUUAUUCAAGAACCAAAAGAGUGCAUGUCAGAGUGGUCUGUUCACCGGGCUGCACACAACACAAUCUAGAGAAAUGAAAUCAUAACAAUUUUCUUUUUUGAGUAAAUAAAUUCCAUAGACUGCAUCAGCCUCGCAACAGUUGUAGCUUCUCGUCAUGACAUUUUAUGCUUGUAGCAUCAUUUCGUGUACCUCUGUAAAACAAAAUUUCCACACUAAAGAUUAAAGUGCUUAAUAAUAGGCCAUCCUACAACCUCUGGUUUAGCUCUUCUUCUUCUUUCGUUUCCUCGGGGAAGGGUGAUUAGAAUCAGGUGGUAGUUGCAUGCUUGCAGCUAUGAGAUUUUGAUUCAGACAAGAAUGUUUAAUCUAUUUUCUUACUGGAAGAUAAUGAUCACUCAACUUCUAUGUUGCAUCAAAGGAUGCUGGAGUUCAUUGCAGCUAUAUCCUUUUAUAAAUUAGUCGGACUAAAAUGCCAUCUUCAAUCUUACAUUUCAGAAAAUGGUGUCUGCAAUCAUAUGGAUGCAGCUAAUUCCCCGCAAGAUAUAAUCAUUCACAUAUAUCAGUCCUGUCCGAUGUGCUUGAUCUUGUUCAGGUAGCUGUUGUUUGAGGCCAUUGUCCGGAGUUAAUCAUUCUUCGUUGGUUUCUGAUCCACAGUCAACAAAUUAAGGGAAUGAUUCACCCUGAAAUUAGAAAAGAAGGGGAAAAUUAAGUGCAAGAUACCAAAAGACGUAAAAAUAUAUUGGUAAAUGGAAUUAAUGUCCUCUUGCAUCAAGAGAAAGAAAAGAAAGUGAGUAAAGGAAAUAGACCAUGGCUAAUUAUAGCCAGGGAAAGAUAUUGUCCAGCCUGAAUAAGCCUGAUGGGAGUCAAUGGCGUCUCCAAUCUCCUCUAUAUGGUUUUGGCAGUUAUGUAGACAGUGUCUUUGGCUUAUUCUUAAGACUAAAAACGGAUCAACUGCUUAGUGCUCACAUACUUGAGUUGGGUGAGUGAAAAGUGACGUGUAGAGAGCUGAAUUGAGAAGCUGUAGUUAGUGACACAUUCUCAUAGAUCACAUCGAAACAGAAGAUUAUUUUGGAGUGACGGAAGGGCCUAGGAAAUAAACCUUUGUAAUUGUAUCCAAGGCCGGCUUCCAUGCAUCAUGAGUUAUGAUAAUUAAUAUUUGGAAAGCUGAUUUUUCUUUCAAGGAGAUGCCUUUUGCCACUUUCAGAUUUCUCAGUUUCAGCAUUUGCGUGCUCAUCCAGUCGCUUCUAGCGCUGUUAAUUCUGAUUUUGUUGUUGAACAUUUUGCCAUCGUCUCAGCAUCUUUACUCGCUGUCCAGGUCGUACCCUUACGAGUACAAAAUGAAAACCCAGAAGGGCGUGAGUUAUUAUGUUGAGUCAACAAAAUUUGAGCAGAAAUAUCCUGCUAAUAAUCCUGAUCGUGUGAGGUUUGAAGAUCGUGUAAACUUUUUCCCGUCCUCUGAGCCUGUUUAUUCAGUGUCCAGGUCGUAUCCUUAUGAGUACAAGUUCACAACACAGAAGGGUGUGAAUUAUUAUGUGAGGUCAACGAAAUUUGAGCAAGAUUAUCCACUUAAUAGUCCUGAGCGUAUAAAGAUCGAGGAGCGUGUUGAGAGAGAUUAUUAUUCAGUUUUGGCCCAGAAUUGUAGGUUUGAGCUGCAGCGGCAGCAGUGGGGGUUUAUUCGUGAGACGCCACAUUGUGAUUUGUUGCAGAAGUUUCAGUCGGCAGCUUAAUGGCUUCCAUUAAGGUCUUUUCCGUGUUCCUGUAUUUUUUUUUUUUCCAUUUAGGCUAGUAGUAUUCUUUUAGUUUUAAGGGUUUAAAGGAUGUGUGGUUGUUUGCUUGUUUGGAUAUUAGUUUAAGUGCAACAAUUGUGAGCUUAGGCAUGCAUCGUCCAUGGAUAUUGAUUUAACUAAAGAAUAAUAAAGUGAUUCUGAUAGUGUCUAUUUGCUAUAAAAAUGUAGAUAUUGAAGCAUCUGGGUUUAUAUAGUUUGAUACUUUGGUACUUAGUCAUGCAUAUUGAUAUUGGUUUUCUAAAGUAACCUUAUUGACAACAAGAGUAUAUGUUGUUAACUUUCAUGAUGGUAAAAAUGUAAAUGUGGUUCAGUUCGAGUUGAAGCAAUUUCUGUUCUGUUUCUAAAAUCUGCCCAAGUUCUUUCAAACUUCCUUCUGCUGCACAGUGAAAAUAGGGCAUUCUUCUUUCUUAAAGCAGUUUUUUGCAGCGCUACAUGCUACGUAUGUUUUAGAAUCAUGUUUGUUGGUACUAGGGUGAGUAUUAGGACUUUUCGAACCAUUGGAAAUAAUGCCUCGUCUUUUCGUUUUGUUGCAAAGCUAGCCUUCUGUCUACCCUAGUUAAAAAAAGGGCGGAAGAAGAAAAAGGUAGGGAAAACUAGUACAUAUAAAAUAAACUACUUACCCCAGGAAUUUGAGUCAAGCUGACUGAUUCGACCUCAGAACAAAAACAGACUAAGACAUACAUUACUUACCCCAAGAAUUUGAGUCAAGCUGACUGAUUCGACCUCGGAACAAAAACAGCCUAAGACAUACAUUAAGCAGCUAGGAAACAUAUUCACAGCUAAUACCCACCUAUCAACGAAACUCCUUAUCUUGCGUGUCCCUAAUCAAGCCUACACCCUGCUUUAUUUUUCCUUAAAAGAACUCUUUGAUUGGUGCUGCUCCAUUCCAACCAAACUGCAAUGAACAGAUGAUAUAUGAACCCAAGACUUAUUAUCUUGCUUUGAUUUUUGACAAAUUAAGGAAAGCUAUGACUCUUUGUAAUAUCAGUACCUGGCAUUCUUAUAAUCAUUGGCACUAAGAGACAGCUUCUCCUAUGAAUGUUAAAUGAGCAGAAACUUUUAUGUUAACAAUACUUACAUCUAAUCUUAUGAAUUUUUAUUUUUCUUUUUUGAAGGGCCAUAUAAUCCUAUGAUUUAAUGUACCACAAACAAAUCAAUUCUUAUUUCACUGCAUGGUUAUCUAUAUUACUCAAACAUAUGUAACUCAAACAUGACAACAAGUUGGCUUUUUUCAAACUUUCAGAUUUGAAACAUCAACAAGGGCAUUUUUUUAUUUGAAACGCAUGGAUAGUUACAUUAUCUACAAAGAUGGAACUUAGCUGUUGUGGUUGCAUGAUCCUAUGGUCUGCUCCUGGAGCAAUCUGUGUAUGGACCUCCUCUGCUUUUGGCUUAUCUAAUCUCUUGAUUAGUUUUGCUUGACUUUAGAACUAGGCUGUUGUUUCAUCAUGCAACACCAGUAUGGCAUUAGUGGCCCAUUUGUAGCAUACUGAUUUUUUUAUUUCAUUUGGUCCCAUUAAAUAAGAAUCUUUACUGUCUUAGCCACAAUUUUGAGCGUCAUUGCUUCUCAAAAGAAAAAAAAUUGAGUGUCAUUAGUUACCUGGGGGAUACCCAUCCGGUGUCAAUUUCUAGAGUAGGUGAGGUAGAAUUAUUCUUUGUUGGUUAGCCUAAUGAAGGAAGCGGAUAUCAUAAGCAAGAGGGCAGAUAUAUGUAUAACAUAUUUAUCAAUCAUCUGGAGAUGAGAUCAAUACCUGUUGUCAAUGCAUGCACUGGUGUGCAUGUUUGAUGCUAAUGAAAGUGGUG
Molecule: long non-coding RNA, 5889 nt
Filed under: Theobroma cacao (cacao)
Lineage: Eukaryota; Viridiplantae; Streptophyta; Magnoliopsida; Malvales; Malvaceae
Description: long non-coding RNA (TCAC_LNC005145)
Source: RNAcentral